UUACUUCUGUGAUGGAUUGCACUGGGCUCAGAAAUUUUCUGUUGAUAAAAGUGCAGCUCUGCUCCUGACAUGGCAGGGUCUGAGAUUUGA
Hippocampus comes (tiger tail seahorse) is the source of this 90-nucleotide small nucleolar RNA. The record is from Ensembl. NCBI's taxonomy places the organism in Eukaryota, Metazoa, Chordata, Actinopteri, Syngnathiformes, Syngnathidae.